UUGGCAGUGGCCGUGAGAGAUUCGGAGUUCCCCGGGCUGAGGGGACGCUGCAAGACAUCCAGCAAAGCCUUCCCGUCCUGACUGACCUGGGGAGGGAGGCGAAAAAAAUCAGGGGAAGGAUGGAGAAAGCAAUGAUGGUUUAGAUCAUCAUACAACAGAGACUUACCAUGGAAUUCAUGGCGAAGUGGUUGUGCUGGGUCUGCAGGUCGAGGGCGUGCUGGUAGCUCAUUCCGAUCUCCGUGUGACCCUGCAGGAAAACCUCCUUGUUGUAGACGGAGGCAGGACCCCGAAAUGAUAAGAGGAAGACCCAGAAAAUGAGAUUAUAUCAGAACCAGGACAAGGCAACCAGAAGCAAAGGCAAUAAAAAUCCAUGAGGAGUCAAGGUGUCUACAGUCUAUACAUAUGUAUAUAUAUAUGUGUGAUUUAUUGGUAAAAAAGAUAAAAAGUGAUAAGAGCCGUGUGUUCUUCAAUAGGAUUCUGCCGCGGAAAUAUGCAAAAUU
Long non-coding RNA from Hyla sarda, 500 nucleotides. RefSeq lists it as uncharacterized. The transcript is spliced from 3 exons. NCBI's taxonomy places the organism in Eukaryota, Metazoa, Chordata, Amphibia, Anura, Hylidae. The record is from RefSeq and is a predicted model, not a curated record.